CUUGGCUUGUCAGGGCCAGGUGUGUGUGUGUGUGUGUGUGUGUGUGUGUCAGGGCUGUUGGGUGACAGUCACGAGAUUCUGGGCAGUUCUGUGCAUUUGAGUGCUUGGCAGACUCAGUUUAGAUGUAAUGUAAUAUAGUGUAAUAUAGUAUAAUAAAGUAAUUAAUGAGCCCUCUGAUAUCAGUGGAGUCAGAUGCAUCAUUCUCUCCCCUCAUGGGGGCUGCCUGCAAAUUCCAUGCAGCAGAGUGCCCCAGACAGCCCAAGCCCGUUUGCCAUCACUGAAAUUGUUUUACCCCAGUCUCAAUGAGGAGAACUCAUUCCUCAUUCCUCUCAAUGAGGAAAGCCCAGGCUGUCAGCAAGCACUAAAAGGGAAAGGCCAGUGCCUGAGCAAGGCUGUUCCUCCAAGAACACAGCACAGUCAGGCACCAAGCAGAGAUGUCAGAGUGCUGAUUUACAGCACACUGCAUGAUGAAACACAGGCUCUGCAGAAAUCCACAGCAGCACAACCAAAAGACAUCUAAAUCCCACUGGGUUUAUUGUGCUUCCUUUUUUAAACUCACUGGCUGCAAGAGUUACUGUUAGAUUUAAGAUUUCCUUUUUGAAGGCAAACUAAAGAAAUAAAAAUGUGACAGAGGGAUGAAAGGGUUUCACUGCAGGCAACAUUUAAGUAGUGUGAAGUGUUCAAAGAAAGAUCAGUCACAGUAUUUAGUCUGUGAUCAAUUUAUAGAAUACAGAUUGCAUUUGAGAUUGGACAGGAUUAUACUUUUGACUCUGAAAAAAACCACUAAAAACUCACCUGUUCCUUUCAUUCUGGGAUUCAGUUUGGUCACUGAAGGGUAAGAAUGAAACAUUUUUAUGUUCUGAAAAGCUUGUGUCAAAAUCUGAACAGUAUUUCAACAGCCUGGUUCAUACACAGUGUACCUCUAAGCACCAGUAAGUGCAUUAGCUUCUGCAAGAAAAGAAAAUUCUACUGUUUCUUUUUCCAUCAAGUACAAUUUCAAGAAUGAAAUUAUAUUGUUAAAUCCAAGCAUUCUCCUAAUCUGGGGUCAGAGCAUUUCUUUGCUUAACAUGUCAAGGCGAAGUUACUUUUUCUUUUUUUCUGUGUUCCUUAAAUUAAAAGUGAAGAACUGAUGGAAGCUCUCUGUCUUGAAACAAAAGACAACCCAUGCCCUUCUCAGUGUGAACUGGACUAUUCAGAACAAGGAACCAUCUGAUCCCAAAACAAUCCUUUACUGUGGGAUGAACAAAACUUUCCUGGGCAGCAUGUGUCCUACUGCAUAUCUUUUAUGUAAUAUCCAAAAGCAACAAUGAAUUAUUUAAUUCCAAAGUAAUCACUCUAAGGGAGCUCAGAAGACAGCAAUUUCUACUUUUAUAAGUCAGAGAGAUGUGUGUUUCUUCAGUAUUUUAUUCAAUAAGCACAUCAGCAAAUGAAAUUUCCAGGAAAAUCUACACACAGCUCCCUAGAAAUAACAGUGCACACUUCCCUCCUCAGUUAUCUUUACCCAUUUGGUUUUCAUAUUCCCCAAGCAGCUUAUCCAGGCUUUUUUCCCCCUCUGUGAGUUUCCCAUUUUAAUUAAUUUAAUAAAUAAUGGACUGCAGGGGUGAUCUUGGAGAAAACUCCACAUCUCAGCUCUGCUGCACACCCAAGUUCACUGAAUGUCAUCGUCAUCAAAGAGAUCUUCAAAAUCUAGUCAGGAAAACAAGACAAAAAUGAACCUCAGAAGUUUCAGUGUUACAAAUGCACAUGCAAGUACAGUAGUUUGUUCCUUGGAUUCAGAAAUAAAGGUGAAUUCAGAGAAUGAGAGUUACUGCGCCAUCAGUUAUUAGAAAUGUAGCAUCAGGGUGAUGAUUUUGCAGACUAAUGAACCGGGAGUUGUGUUAAAAAGCCCCUCCUCAGAAACAUUUAAUUGCUCAAAAACACUUAAUUGUUUUGUGUUAAAAACCCCUUCCUCAAAACCAUUUAAUUGCUUUAAAUAACAUUUUUGUCCCAGAACACAUGUCCCAGUAGUGAAAUGGUUCCAGUCACAUUUGGAAUUACUCCUAACUACUCGGCCUUGCAUCUUCUUUGUGUGCUG
Non-coding RNA from Zonotrichia albicollis (white-throated sparrow), 2074 nucleotides. The record is from RefSeq and is a predicted model, not a curated record. NCBI's taxonomy places the organism in Eukaryota, Metazoa, Chordata, Aves, Passeriformes, Passerellidae.